RNAcentral lists this unclassified non-coding RNA (331 nucleotides) under soil metagenome. Its description in RNAcentral is "partial contains 5.8S ribosomal RNA, internal transcribed spacer 2, and large subunit ribosomal RNA". The stretch from base 1 to 120 matches the Rfam family "5.8S ribosomal RNA", at positions 35 to 154 of the family's 154-position model. The record is from RNAcentral.
GAUGAAGAACGUAGCGAAAUGCGAUAAGUAAUGUGAAUUGCAGAAUUCAGUGAAUCAUCGAAUCUUUGAACGCACAUUGCGCCCGCCAGUAUUCUGGCGGGCAUGCCUGUUCGAGCGUCAUUUCAACCCUCAAGCACAGCUUGGUGUUGGGACUCGCGUUAAUUCGCGUUCCCCAAAUUGAUUGGCGGUCACGUCGAGCUUCCAUAGCGUAGUAGUAAAACCCUCGUUACUGGUAAUCGUCGCGGCCACGCCGUUAAACCCCAACUUCUGAAUGUUGACCUCGGAUCAGGUAGGAAUACCCGCUGAACUUAAGCAUAUCAAAAGCGGAGGA